AUACGUAGGGGGCGAGCGUUGUCCGGAAUGAUUGGGCGUAAAGGGCGCGUAGGCGGCCUGUUAAGUCUGGAGUGAAAGUCCUGUUUUCAAGAUGGGAAUUGCUUUGGAUACUGAUGGGCUUGAGUGCAGGAGAGGUUAUCGGAAUUCCCGGUGUAGCGGUGAAAUGCGUAGAGAUCGGGAGGAACACCAGUGGCGAAGGCGCGUAACUGGACUGCAACUGACGCUGAGGCGCGAAAGUGUGGGGAGCAAACAGGAUUAUAUACCCUGGUAGUCCACACUGUAAACGAUGAAUGCUAGGUGUAAGAGGUAUCGACCCCUUUUGUGCCGGAGUCAACACAAUAAGCAUUCCGCCUGGGGAGUACGGCCGCAAGGUUGAAACUCAAAGGAAUUGACGGGG
Molecule: ribosomal RNA, 397 nt
Filed under: uncultured bacterium
Lineage: Bacteria
Description: partial 16S ribosomal RNA
Rfam family: Bacterial small subunit ribosomal RNA
Source: RNAcentral